This 391-nucleotide ribosomal RNA is filed under the name uncultured bacterium. RNAcentral describes it as "bacterial LSU rRNA". It matches the Rfam family "Bacterial large subunit ribosomal RNA", at positions 17 to 415 of the family's 2925-position model. The record is from RNAcentral.
GCAUGUGGUGGAUGCCUUGGCGAUCACAGGCGAUGAAGGACGUUGUAGCCUGCGUUAUGCUGCGGGGAGCUGGCAAACAAGCUUUGAUCCGCAGAUGUCCGAAUGGGGGAAACCCACUCCGAAAGGAGUAUCCCGCGCUGAAUACAUAGGCGCGAGGAAGCGAACCGAGCGAACUGAAACAUCUAAGUAGCUCGAGGAAAAGAAAUCAACCGAGAUUCCGAAAGUAGUGGCGAGCGAACGCGGAAGAGGCCAAACCUGAGGUAGAAAUACCCCGAGGGGUUCGGACUGCUUUUAGGACUGCAACUGUUAGCCGAAUGGUAUGGGAAGGCCAUCCGGAGAGUGUGAGAGACACGUAGGCGAAAACGGGAGCAGCUGCGCAGUAUCCAGGUCA